GUGGUGAUCAGCAUGCGGGCUGUGCUGCCAAGCGUGAGUGGCAGCGUGAGUGGCAGCGUGAGUGGCAGCGUGAGUGGCAGCGUGAGUGGCAGCGAGCUUCUGUCGCCACAAGAUUGAUCAACAGUGCCAUUGAUCAAUCAUCAAAACAACAAUCAACAAUCAACAGCAUUGAUCUCUUGCUUGUUUUGAUUGCUUGUAUCUGUCACUUGUAGCAAUCCUAAUGCAUGUAAGUCUGUGCCAAUCAUCAUGCAUUAUCCAUAUUGAUCGUAAUGCACAUAUAUCUUGGCCUAUCAUCAUGCAUUGCUAUAUUGAUUGUAAAUUGCAAUUUAUGGAGACACCUGCUACAGUGUCCUCAAUAUAUGUUGUGCCAAACUUUACAGUCUUUAUCAAUGUAUGAGCUUUAAUAAUAUAGCUAUAAGAUAAUUUAUACAUUUUUAUUUCAAAUUGAGAAGUUGUUUAUUUAUAUAAGUUGAUUAAAUACUCUUUUUUUUCAGAAUUGUAAUGGAUAGGAGUUUGACAACAAUAUCUGGGGGUGUGGGCGUCCUAAUUUAAUCAAACUACCAGGCUACAUUACAUUCGAAUGCCACGUAACUUAAAGUAUAUUUUUUCAAUUGAAAUCGUUGUAAACCACUGGAAUAUUUAAGUUGGCCACGAAAUAUCUUAAAUUUAAGCUCUAAGUACCUUAUUGCGAAACCCAAUUCACUCAAUUAAUACUUGCAAUAAUUUACCAUUAAUGUUCUAAUUAUGAUGGCUCUUAUGGCCAGGACAGCAUUGUCUGGCAGGCUUUGGCUCACAAGUCUGCAUCCAAGUUAUCAUCUUCUGCUCUUUUCUGGGGUUCUGUUGAUUUUGUCAUCAUUGCUGUACUCAUGACUGGUCUUGAGAUAGAGAGCGGACGAAUGUUAGCGUUCAGAGGAAGGUAAACUGCUGGAUGGAUCCUGAUGCCAGGAAGAAAAUGAUGAACAUGGUUAAUAGGCUCCCCUCAGGCGCUGAAGAAGAGCUGGUCCAGGCUCC
Hyalella azteca is the source of this 1011-nucleotide long non-coding RNA. RefSeq lists it as uncharacterized. The record is from RefSeq and is a predicted model, not a curated record. The transcript is spliced from 3 exons. NCBI's taxonomy places the organism in Eukaryota, Metazoa, Arthropoda, Malacostraca, Amphipoda, Hyalellidae.